GCGGCGUGCUUAACACAUGCAAGUCGAACGAACCUUCGGGUUAGUGGCGGACGGGUGAGUAACGCGUGGGAAUCUGCCCUCAGGAGGGGGAUAACGGUUGGAAACGACCGCUAAUACCCCAUAUGCCGAGAGGUGAAAUGAAUUUCGCCUGAGGAUGAGCCCGCGUCUGAUUAGCUUGUUGGUGAGGUAAUGGCUCACCAAGGCAUCGAUCAGUAGCUGGUCUGAGAGGAUGAUCAGCCACACUGGGACUGAGACACGGCCCAGACUCCUACGGGAGGCAGCAGUGGGGAAUUUUCCGCAAUGGGCGAAAGCCUGACGGAGCAACGCCGCGUGAGGGACGAAGGCCUCUGGGCUGUAAACCUCUUUUCUCAAGGAAGAAGAUAUGACGGUACUUGAGGAAUAAGCCACGGCUAAUUCCGUGCCAGCAGCCGCGGUAAUACGGGAGUGGCAAGCGUUAUCCGGAAUUAUUGGGCGUAAAGCGUCCGCAGGCGGCUUUUCAAGUCUGCUGUUAAAGCGUGGAGCUUAACUCCAUCAUGGCAGUGGAAACUGAUUGGCUUGAGUAUGGUAGGGGCAGAGGGAAUUCCCGGUGUAGCGGUGAAAUGCGUAGAUAUCGGGAAGAACACCAGUGGCGAAGGCGCUCUGCUGGGCCAUUACUGACGCUCAUGGACGAAAGCCAGGGGAGCGAAAGGGAUUAGAUACCCCUGUAGUCCUGGCCGUAAACGAUGAACACUAGGUGUCGGGGGAAUCGACCCCUUCGGUGUCGUAGCUNACGCGUUAAGUGUUCCGCCUGGGGAGUACGCACGCAAGUGUGAAA
This 814-nucleotide ribosomal RNA is filed under the name uncultured Prochlorococcus sp. Its description in RNAcentral is "SSU rRNA". It matches the Rfam family "Bacterial small subunit ribosomal RNA", at positions 39 to 899 of the family's 1533-position model. Lineage: Bacteria; Bacillati; Cyanobacteriota; Cyanophyceae; Synechococcales; Prochlorococcaceae. The record is from RNAcentral.